CUAAGCCUGAAGGAAGGAAGAGCAUGGGCUUAGGGGCAGGGAUGGCUCUGGUGAUUUCAGAGUCUCAUCUCCUAAAUCUGAGCUUCCCUGUAGUGCAGAGCUGAGGUUCACAGCAGAAGAUGUGAGGGCCUGUCUCUAGGUCACAGAGAAAAUGGACGUGGUACACUUUGGAAAGCGUGGAACACCUCGCCCUGGCAGGGGCUAGUUUGAACUGGAUCCUGAAAUGCAUGCAGCCUCUCUCAUCUCCUCCCGGGAGUCUCUCCUCCCUGCUUUCCUUGCCUACAUAGCCUCUUUUUCUAGCCAACUUCACCUCCUAAAAGCACUGAGCAUGACCUGCAAGGAGUAGCUGCAUUAGCUUCCCGACCCUUGCCUGCCUCUGUCAUCCACUGGAAGACUCUACAACAACCAGCUCUGCU
Molecule: long non-coding RNA, 416 nt
Filed under: Rattus norvegicus (Norway rat)
Lineage: Eukaryota; Metazoa; Chordata; Mammalia; Rodentia; Muridae
Description: long non-coding RNA NONRATT032221
Source: RNAcentral